UCUGACAUUCUUACUGCUCCUAGUGACUGCAGAAUAGACAUUUCUGCAAAAGCUGAUCAGAAGAACCUUACCGCUGAUAAUGGUGUUGUAGCUGAUCAUAAGAGCCAUACCGCCUCUGAUAAUGGUGUUGUUGCUGAUCAGAAGAACCUUACCGUCUCUGAUAAUGGUGUUGUAGCUGAUCAGAAGAACCUUACCACCUCUAAGAAUGGUGUUGUUGCUGAUCAGAAGAACCUUACCGCCUCUGAUAAUGUUGUAGCUGAUCAUAAGAACCUUACCGUCUCUGAUAAUGGUGUUGUAGCUGAUCAGAAGAACCUUACCGUCUCUGAUAAUGGUGUUUUAGCUGAUCAGAAGAACCUUACCGUGUCUGAUAAUGGUGUUGUAGCUGAUCAGAAGAAGCUCACUGACUGAUAAAUGGUGUUAGCUGAUACAACUCAAACUCUUGUUGGAACCAUUUUUCAACCUGGAUUCCAACAAGCCACAUUUUCCGCCAUGCUGUAGAUAAUU
This 504-nucleotide long non-coding RNA is filed under the name Solanum tuberosum (potato). RNAcentral's name for it is "long non-coding RNA (STUB_LNC011717)". The record is from RNAcentral. Lineage: Eukaryota; Viridiplantae; Streptophyta; Magnoliopsida; Solanales; Solanaceae.